This 479-nucleotide ribosomal RNA is filed under the name uncultured bacterium. RNAcentral's name for it is "bacterial SSU rRNA". It matches the Rfam family "Bacterial small subunit ribosomal RNA", at positions 32 to 520 of the family's 1533-position model. The record is from RNAcentral.
AAUCAACGCUGGCGGCGUGCCUCAGACAUGCAAGUCGAACGAUUAAGACUCUCUUCGGAGAGUGUAUAAAGUGGCGCACGGGUGAGUAACACGUAGGUAAUGUACCGAAGGGUGGGGAAUAACUUAGGGAAACUUAAGCUAAUACCGCAUAAUGCAGCGGCUCGACAUCGAGACAGUUGUUAAAGGAGCAAUCCGCCUUUUGAGCAGCCUGCGGCAGAUUAGCUAGUUGGUAAGGUAAUGGCUUACCAAGGCUACGAUCUGUAGCCGACCUGAGAGGGUGGUCGGUCACACUGACACUGAAUAACGGGUCAGACUCCUACGGAGGCAGCAGUCGGGAAUUUUGGGCAAUGGGCGAAAGCCUGACCCAGCAACGCCGCGUGAAGGAUGAAGUAUUUCGGUAUGUAAACUUCGUAAGAAUAGGAAGAAUAAAUGACGGUACUAUUUGUAAGGUCCGGCUAACUACGUGCCAGCAGCCGCGG